UUCUCCAUUAUACUAAGCUGCCCUAUGCCAGGAGACAGAGCUUUGUUAAAGAAAGGAUGUAAGAGCCCAUAAUGGGUUGUUUUUAUUCAAUUGGAGCUCUCAUACACACCACAUUUUGUUUUUAAGCACAGGAAAUAAGGAAUCUUUAAGCCAUAUGACAUGAAAUAUAAGCCACUAAUCAAAAGUUUCUGAAUUUGAUAUUUAGGAACUGCUAUCUCUACUACUUACAUGUUCAUUUUUUCUAUUUAUCUAAUCCAUUUUAUUCAGACACUUAAAUCAGCAGAGCACCAGAAUUAUUUUCCAUCAGAUUUUGUUUCUGUAGAGAUUUGAUUAUCUGCUUCUCUCAGCACAGAAAAAUCUCUAUAAACCAGCACUUGCAUAACAUUACUGGAGACUGACAAUUUCUAAUGAUUUUUCCACACUAGGAGAUCCUCAAGCACCAUCUCAGAGAUACAAUUUCAUGUUGUAUAUUUUCAACAUAAGGAGUACACUGCAUUUCUAAUGGUAUUAGUCUUUGAUGUUUGGCAUAUAGGGAAAGAUCAGUUACUAUUUAAUUAACCCUGAAUAUUACUCCCUAAUCCUAUAGAGUAAUAACAAAUUUGUUCCAUCCUAAAUGAAAAAAACAUUUCCAGACAGUUACAAUUUAGCAGAGAAGUGAGAGGCAUAGAAAUAUGGGAAGAGACUCAAGAUUUGAAAGCUUUUUAAACAACAAUUUCUAGUCAAGUAAGUGAAGAAACCCCUACCCCAAUAGUCUCUUCAUUCAUAUUCAUUCUGCCCUGUAAACCACCCUGGAAUUUAAGUUUUCAAACAGUUCCCAACAUUGCCUUAAUAGGAUAUAUUCCUAUAUGUGCUCAAGGAACCCCCUUUUACUUAAACUUUCUUUUUCCCCCUAAGUCAAAAUGUAGGACAGCAUAUUCAACAGACAAGUUUGUGCUUUGUAGAGAAAGUAACUAGAGGAGUUCCCUGGUGGCUCAGUGGGUUAAGAAUCCAGCAUUGUCACUGCUGUGGUAGGAGUUUGAUCUUUAGCCUUGGAACUUCCACAUGCUGUGCAAGAAAAACAAACAAACAAGAAAGUAACUAGUACAUUGGUCUUCUGUCUGUUUCUGUUAUAUUACUACCAUUUAACGCUUGUAAUCUGUGGAUGACAUGCUAUCUAUUAACAAGAAUCCCAUAACCAGAGUUCUCUUGUGGCCCAGCAGGUUAAGAAUCCAGUGUUCUCACUGCAGCAGCUGGGGUCACUGCUCUUGCAUGGGCUCAAUUGCUGGCCUGAGCACUUCCAUAUGCUGCUUGUGUGGCCAAAAAAAAAAAGCAUUCUGUAAGUAGAAUAGGGAAAUGUAGGAUGCCCCAAAUCAAGGCUCUGACUUGAGAAACAAGGGCUCCAAAUCUCAAUAAAGAAGGCAUUUUAGACUCUUGCUAACAACUAACUCAGGCCUCAGGCAAUGGAGAACCUCAAUCAACUCGUACCCAGAACUUCUUUCUCUAAUUCAUUCCCUCAGGAAUUUGAUCUAUGUGAGAGAAUGGACCAAAAUACACUCUCUAGUGCAAUAAUGAAUAAUGCUGAUGUAACUUCCACUAAGGAAUGAUUUUUCUUUAACUGACGAGUCAAGGAUUCAGUGGCAUUAUAAACUUUCAACCAAACAAGUUUGACAAAUGCUAUAAACCAUUCUACAAAAGAUAGCCAUGUGGGUAUAUGUAUAAUUGAAUCACUGUGUUGUACAGCACAAAUUACCACAAUAUUAUAUAUCAACUAUACUUCAAAAAAACUUUAAAAAAUGAAAAUGAAAAAAAAAAAAAAACACCACACACAAAAAACACAAAAAACAGCCAUAAUACAGAAAGUGCUGCAAACAAAGCUGAUGAGAGAUGAUGGUACUCAUGGUAGUUAAAAGCUCACAGAUUCUGAGUUCACAAAGACUAGUUUUGUUCUUCACCAUUUACCAGUUGUAUGACCUUGAGAAAGCAUUUAAACUCUAUAAGCCUUGGAGUUCCCAUCAUGACUCAGGGUAAAAGAAUCCAACUAGUAUCCAUGAGGAUGCAGGAUCAAUCCCUGGCCUCACUCAGUGGGUUAAGGACCCAGUGUUGCUGUGAGCUGUGGUGUAGGUUGCAGAUAUGGCUCAGAUCCUGUGUUGCUGUGGCUGUGGUAUAGGCCAGCAGCUAGACUCUGAUUUGACCCCUAGCCUGGGAACUUCCAUAUGCGAUGGGUGUAGCCAUAAACAGCAAACAAACAAACUCUAUAAGCCUUAGUUUCAUGUUUAUCAAAGUAAAACUGGGAUAAAUCUACAAUUAGCAUAGUGCCAAGGGGUGUUGUAGAAGGGUUUUAGCUGAAACUCCAGACAUAACCCCUACAUAUAACUCCUAAUCUCUGAAAUUGACAUAAAUACCUUCCUAGUCUUAUGUACAGUGUGAAAGUAUUUUUAAGGAAAUUUAUAUUGAUCCAAGACAUAUGCACCAAGUGUGUAGAAUAUGCUUAAAAUGGAUAUUCAGGAGUUCCCAUCGUUGCUCAGUGAAAACGAAUGUGACUAGCAUCCACGAGGACGCAGGUUUGAUCCCCAGCCUAUGGGGGAGUAUGGAUCCGAUGUUGCCAUGAGCUGUGGUGUAGGUCACAGAUGCAGCUUGGAUCCCGCAUUGUUGUGGCUGUGGUGUAGGCCAGUGGCUUAGCUCCAAUUCAAUCCCUGGUCUGGGAACCUCCAUAUGCCACAGGUGAGGCCCCAAAAAGAAAAUUAAAAAAUUCAAUUCAGCUUUAAGACAAGUCUACUUUAGUCAACUCUAACACCAGAUUGCCAUCACUGAUUCUCAGUACAGAGAACAUCUGUAACUGCCACUGACUAACCCAUUUUGAAAAUUAGCAUGGGAUACUGCACAUACGACACUUAAUAUGAUGGUGUAUAUAUAGCAAAUAUUCAAUAAACAUUAGUUGUUAUUAUUAAUAAUGUAUUCUUUUGUAUAUAUUUAAGUAUAUUUUUCUUAGAUUGAAAAUUACUUUGAAACCAAGGAAAGAAAAAACAACCUUGUGGGGUCCCAUUUGAAAAUGCCCUUAAAUGGGAAAAUUUGUUAGCUUGAGGAAAUUUGUGAAGCUACAAAACCAAGGAAGCUGAUUUUUAACUCCCCGUUAUGUAUAUAUGUUGGGACAACAUUUAUACAAAUGUCAUGGCUAUACAUGCACAAAUACAUCAACUAACUGAACUGAUUUGCAAGGCCUUAUCUGCUGGGAGCUAUUUAUAUGUAUUUGCCUUUAGUGUCUAACUUCACUGAAUUUCCAGUAAAGCUACAUAGAUUUCUUGAUAUUUUUGAAUCACAGAAUACAAGUGAUACACACAUGAAACCAAGGAAAGAGAGCUGGCUUCACUGCAGUUCAAAUGCCAUAUUAAAAAUACUAAAAAUACCAAAUAAUAAAAUAUUAAAAAUAUGUACACACACAGACAUACACCUAAAUUCAAUUUUAACUAGAAGCCUAAAGGUGGAAUCAGUUCCUGAAAAUUCCAGUCAUUGGUGAUUAGCAUGUUGAGAGGCAGAGUCUGCUUUGAUUUUUUUCUUUUUUCUCUCUAAAGUAGUUUCUCCCUCAAAAUAUGUCAGAUGGCUUCCUGUAAUAAUAAGGGCAAGGUGAUUCAGAAUGUGCAGUUGUACUUGCUAAUACCACUGCGGUUUAUGGAGCAUAGAACUACUCAGACCUCCUAACCUCGCCAACUGGGCUCAGUGAUAGGACUAACAAGGUUGUUCGGUGACACAGCAAGUAAAAAUUAAAAUCAGAGGAGCAAUCACGUUUGAUACAGGGAGUCACUAAAGGGGGCCAGAAGAGAAGCAAUAAGACGUUGCCAGGCUGGAAACACCUGCUGAAUUCAGAGUAUGUCGCAACCUCAAAAAAGCCUGGUAAGGGAAGGCCGUAAAAGAGAAUUACAAAAAUCAAUUCUGGAGGUAACCAAAUCAGGAGUGAAAAUUUCAGCAGCUGCCUGGUUAGAACAGAUAGAUACAAAAAAGUUCAUUUAGGGAUGGGGAGGGGAGGAGAAAAACUGACAAACCACAAUGCUUGCCUUCUCCUUCCAGUAGUUUGUUCAAGUGUGUUUACUUUCCAUACUAGUUUUCUUGUAUUUUCAAGUUAUAGGAUUAACUGGCUAUUUUAAGGGAUGGGUGAAUGCUAGCGUAUCAUUCUCUGACACCUCAUUCUUGAUCAAGUCCGAUGUUCUCAUCCAUGGCCUCCUGCUCUAUGUGCAUCUCUACAUUGAGGGUGGUUCGAGUUAAAUCAGCUCCUCUGCUUUGGUGCUUUCAUAGGUACACAGUAGCGCUUCUCAGAUGCCGUCUUUCAUGUCUGCAGGCUGAUGAUUCUCUCUUUUGCACCUUUCCAGGGGAACAGCUGGGGUGCAGUCAGUAACCAGAUGUAUCACGUUGCUAACAGCUUCCAUGCUGAAGUUGAUCACAAUCAUGACUCAUGGGCCCUAAAUCAGGACAGAAAUGCCUUGGCAUUUUUAUGAACUUUUUGUUAAGGUUCUCUGGUUCAAACAUAAGGUGCUCCUUGCCAAGGACCUUUGAAAGCUCCUAAAGCUUCUUUUGAAGUGUUGAUGCUGAACUUAGUAGGGGCAUUACAAAUUCAGAAGAGGCAUUGUCCCUUUCUUUGCAACCCACUGUCAUGGUCCUUAUUAAACUUACUACAAAGGGAGUUCCUGCUGUGGUGCAAUGGGAUCAGCAGUGUCUUGUGAGCAUUGGGUCGGAGGUUUGAUCCCUGGCCUGGCACAGUGAGUUAAGGAGUUAAGGAUCCAGCGUUGUCACAGCUGCGGCUUAGGGUGUGACUGUAGCUCAGAUCUGAUCCCUGGCCCAGGAACUCUAUAUGCCACAGGGUGGCCAAAAAGGAAAAAAAACAGAACAAAACAAAAAACUUAUAACGAAGGAUUGGCCUUGCUACGAUGUACACAAUAGUCUCUGAAAUCUUGGUAAGAAAGAGUAUUAGUAGAGCAGUAGUAACUUCUGAAGAAUGUCGUCUGCUUUGUAAAUGCCUUGGAAAUGACAGUGGCUGCCAAAGCAUUUACAAACUAAGUUUGGGGGUGUCCUGGUCUUUCAUCCCUUUCGCUCUACAAAGCCCAAGACAUUUUUUUCAGUGAUUUCCCUAAGUAAUAAAUUUCUAAGUUAAUAUCAGCCAUGUGUGGAAGUCAGAUAACCUCAAAGAAGAAGACAUGAUCAGGAAUGUUUUCACUUAAUAUUUAACUGAGUUAUAUACCAAAAAAGAUAUUAGCAAUCAGAUAUGUAGCCAAUUCACUAUAAAUUCAACAUCCCAUCUUGUAAAAAAAAAAAAAAAAACCACAAUAAUUCAGCAUAUAACAUUCAUGAAUUAAAAUUAUAUCUACCAGACAGUCUUACAACUUUUGGACAGGAGGCAGUAUUGAGUAGUGAUAAUAAGCAGGGGUCUUGAAAAUCAAACCACCUAGAUGUAAAUCCUGCUUCCACUUGCAUAGUGAUAAAAGGCAAAUGAUCGAACUUAUCUAAUUAUGUUUCCUUACCUAAAAAACAGACAUUAUAAAAGAAUGUACCUCCCAGGAUUGGUGUACAAAUUAAGUCAAUAUAUACACAUGGUUAUAUACUGUGGUUCCUAUUGUGGUCCAGUGGGUUAAGUAACCAACUAGUGUCCAUGAAGAUUUGCAUUGGAUUUCUGGCCUCCCUCAGUGUGUUAAGGAUCCAGCUUUGCCGCAAGCCGUGGCAUGGGUCACAGAUAGGAUCUGGCAUUGCUGUGGCUGUGGCAUAGGCUGUCAGUUGCAGCUCCGAUUUGGCCCCUAGCCUGGGAACUUCCAUACGCCUCUAUAAAAAAAAAAAAAAAAAAA
This 5804-nucleotide long non-coding RNA is filed under the name Sus scrofa (pig). RNAcentral's name for it is "lncRNA (ENSSSCG00065001636.1)". The record is from RNAcentral. Lineage: Eukaryota; Metazoa; Chordata; Mammalia; Artiodactyla; Suidae.